AAAAAAAAAAAAAAACAAGCUAAUUGUGGUGUCGUGCGGUGUGGUGCGGUGCAGGUGUAAGCAGUGAGCCUCCAGACACUGCCCCUUUCUCCCUCAGCUUUCUGGGGAGCUGCCAGGACACAGCAGCCUCACUGUGCUCAGAUAGACUGUAGGGGUGGGGGUCAUCCCGGGUGCCUUUCUGCCCCUAUACAUUUUGUUAACAAGGCAGCUGCACUUGUCUACUUGAGAUGCGAGUUGAUUUCCCGACGUCUUCUGGCCCGAGAUGUCUCAUUCCCACAAAGGAGGCUGACCCAGGCGGCUGUGGGUGCUGCCAUUUUGUUCUCAUUGUUUUCACUUGUGAUACUAACUAUUGUUUUUCUCCCCCAUGCCAAGAGCAUGUGCCCUCUCCUUCCGUGCACACCCUCCAGGCGCUCUGUGUGGUGGCUUCUGUUAACCCCUUCUUGACUUUUGGAUUUUUUCUUGUCGCUUUGGUGGUUUGGGGAACUCUGGUGUGGGGCUAGGCUGCCUCUGGGUCUCUGAGCCGUCCGCCUUGGGCACAGCGCUCCCCCGGAAGUUCAGUCGGGGUGGCUUCCUGCUGGCUGCUGUUUGGCGUACGUCCCAACACUGAGCAUGCUCGGAGAACUCUGCCUGGAGUUUGGGGCUGGGCUGGGGGCCUGCUGGCUUCAGGGUGCCCCCCAGGCUCUCCCACCCUGGUUGUGCCCUCUGGGUAUGCGAGCUUUGUCACCGGCUCCUCCGACCUGAGCCCUCGCCUGUUCUGAUUAUGAUGCCACUCCGUAUUUUUGACUUCUCCUGGUGGAUCUUGGUCCAUCUUCAUUACCCUCUGUCCUUUCAGAAAUGAGCUGAAAUCCAGAACAAGGAGGGUCGGUAGUAGAAUCAAGGCUCCAUUUGGAGAAAGAAAUGAUUCCUUUCCUUCAUCCUUGUCCCCAGCGUCUCUGGUGGUCUCAGGGAAGGGCCUGCUCACUGUUGGGGAGCUGGGUGCGGGGCCUGGGGGGCAGGUGGAGGGCCGCUGCUGUUUUCUCUCACUCAUUUCCUAGGUCUUCUUAUCUCCUCUCUGUGUGGCUCUGGUGACAGGGACGAUCCGUAAGGCUCAGAACCUUCUGAAACAGUAUUCCCAGCAUGGUCUAGAUGGGAAAAAGGGGGGCUCUAACCUCAUUCCUCUGGAAGGUCACGAGCAUGAUUUCCGAGUUAAGCACCUGUCCGAGGCCUUGAACGACAAGCACGGG
Molecule: long non-coding RNA, 1223 nt
Filed under: Pan troglodytes (chimpanzee)
Lineage: Eukaryota; Metazoa; Chordata; Mammalia; Primates; Hominidae
Description: long non-coding RNA NONPTRT007343
Source: RNAcentral